CACGUAGGGCGCGAGCGUUGUCCGGAAUUAUUGGGCGUAAAGAGCUCGUAGGCGGCCUGUUGCGUCCGCUGUGAAAGCCCGGGGCUUAACCCCGGGUCUGCAGUGGAUACGGGCAGGCUAGAGGUAGGUAGGGGAGAAUGGAAUUCCUGGUGUAGCGGUGAAAUGCGCAGAUAUCAGGAGGAACACCGAUGGCGAAGGCAGGUCUCUGGGCCACUACUGACGCUGAGAAGCGAAAGCAUGGGGAGCGAACAGG
This 253-nucleotide ribosomal RNA is filed under the name uncultured bacterium. Its description in RNAcentral is "partial 16S ribosomal RNA". It matches the Rfam family "Bacterial small subunit ribosomal RNA", at positions 524 to 776 of the family's 1533-position model. The record is from RNAcentral.